This 253-nucleotide ribosomal RNA is filed under the name uncultured bacterium. RNAcentral's name for it is "partial 16S ribosomal RNA". It matches the Rfam family "Bacterial small subunit ribosomal RNA", at positions 524 to 776 of the family's 1533-position model. The record is from RNAcentral.
UACGUAGGGUCCGAGCGUUGUCCGGAGUUACUGGGCGUAAAGCGCGCGCAGGCGGUCUGGCAAGCAUGGCGUGAAAGCCCCCGGCUCAACCGGGGAGGGUCGUCGUGGACUGCCGGACUUGAGGGCGGUAGGGGUUGGUGGAAUGCCCGGUGUAGUGGUGAAAUGCGUAGAGAUCGGGCGGAACACCCGUGGCGAAGGCGGCCAACUGGGCCGACCCUGACGCUGAGGCGCGAAAGCUAGGGGAGCGAACGGG